UUUUGGACAAUGGGCGCAAGCCUGAUCCAGCCAUUCCGCGUGAGUGAAGAAGGCCUUCGGGUUGUAAAGCUCUUUCCCAAGGGAAGAAAACUUACUUUCUAAUAAAGAGUGAGGUUGACGGUACCUUGAUAAGAAGCACCGGCUAACUACGUGCCAGCAGCCGCGGUAAUACGUAGGGUGCGAGCGUUAAUCGGAAUUACUGGGCGUAAAGCGUGCGCAGGCGGCUUUGUAAGUCAGAUGUGAAAUCCCCGAGCUCAACUUGGGAACUGCGUUUGAAACUACAAGGCUAGAAUAUGUCAGAGGGGGGUAGAAUUCCACGUGUAGCAGUGAAAUGCGUAGAGAUGUGGAGGAAUACCAAUGGCGAAGGCAGCCCCCUGGGGUAAUAUUGACGCUCAUGCACGAGG
Molecule: ribosomal RNA, 404 nt
Filed under: uncultured bacterium
Lineage: Bacteria
Description: bacterial SSU rRNA
Rfam family: Bacterial small subunit ribosomal RNA
Source: RNAcentral